GACGAACGCUGGCGGCGUGCUUAACACAUGCAAGUCGAACGGUGAAGCGCCUUCCUUUUUGGUGGGUGUGGAUGAGUGGCGAACGGGUGAGUAACACGUGAGUAACCUGCCCCCUUCUUCUGGAUAACCGCAUGAAAGUGUGGCUAAUACGGGAUAUUCUGGGUCUGUCGCAUGAUGGGUCUGGGAAAGAUAUUGUUUCGGUGGGGGAUGGGCUCGCGGCCUAUCAGCUUGUUGGUGGGGUGAUGGCCUACCAAGGCGGUGACGGGUAGCCGGCCUGAGAGGGUGGACGGUCACACUGGGACUGAGACACGGCCCAGACUCCUACGGGAGGCAGCAGUGGGGAAUAUUGCACAAUGGGCGCAAGGCUGAUGCAGCGACGCCGCGUGAGGGAUGGAGGCCUUCGGGUUGUGAACCUCUUUCGCCAGUGAAGCAGGCCUGCCUCGUUUGUGGGUGGGUUGACGGUAGCUGGAGAAGAAGCGCCGGCUAACUACGUG
RNAcentral lists this ribosomal RNA (494 nucleotides) under uncultured bacterium. RNAcentral's name for it is "partial 16S ribosomal RNA". It matches the Rfam family "Bacterial small subunit ribosomal RNA", at positions 28 to 507 of the family's 1533-position model. The record is from RNAcentral.